UUAUAAUCUCCCUCGAUCACAGAGAAUUAAUACUAAUAAUAGGAGAAUAGGAAGAAAACAAAUUGUGAGUGUUAGAAAAAGGCUGUGCUUUCAUUCUUAUAUCUUGCAAGAGUAAUGAGUGUGAGCAUUCUAUAUCAUAUUCUCUAGUCAGAUCCAAGCAACUGAGUACAUUCAUCUCUCCGGAGUAACUUAACGUUUCAGAGUCUCUUUGAAAUAAUGGAUGUUCACUUGUUUCUUUCUCGUCAAUUCUCCAUUCUCUCUCUGCGUAUUAGUUAAAUCAGAAGAAGAUGAACAUCUUGCUUCAAUAAACAGGUUUAAUGAUGAUGACUUAUGGUGAAGUGUUGCCGGAUUCAAGAGAUUCAUUGAAGACUUAAGAAUUUAGUUGUUGAAGUCUUAUAAUAUGUGUAUUGUAUUUGAAAUUAGUAUCCUAAGAGUCAAUAGGUAGAAUCCGAGAAAGAGAUUCAUUGAAGACUUAAGAAUUUAGUUGUUGAAGUGUUGUAAUCCGUGUAUUUUAUUUGAAAUUAGUAUCCUAAGAGUCAAUAGGUAGAAUCCAAGCACCAGAGUACUAAAAAAAGUUUUAUUAUCCUAAAAACUUAUGUGAUAAUCGA
Molecule: small RNA, 608 nt
Filed under: Vigna angularis var. angularis
Lineage: Eukaryota; Viridiplantae; Streptophyta; Magnoliopsida; Fabales; Fabaceae
Description: Non-protein coding transcript
Source: RNAcentral